ACCACUUUAAUUUGAUGGAUAUCGUAUGCAAUAAAUAUAUUUAAAUAUGGCAUUUUAAGGGUAUAUAAAUCCAGUUUAAAAUUUUAAAUAAUACAAGCAAUUGUGAUCUAGAUAGUUUAUUAAUUUAGGUUUAUUAGGUGCCAGCAACCGCGGUCAAACCUAAUAAAUAAGCUUACAAGCCCGUUAAAUAAUUAAUUAUUCUUUAAUAUUAUAUAAUAAAUAGUGAAAUAUUAUUAUAAAUAUUAGCUCUAAAUUGAAAAAGACUAAAGAGACUCAUAAGUAAAACUAGGAUUAGAGACCCUACUAUUAUGAAACCAAAUAAUUAUUUAUCAAGGAGUAAAAUUAUAUAAUUUAAACUUAAAAAUUAUGGCGGCCACAUAAAACACUUAGGGGAACUUACCAUAUAAUUGAUAACCACCAAGCAUAAUCAUACUUAUAUUUAAUAAUUUGUAUACCGUUGUCUUCAUGAGCCCUUUGAAAGGGCUCAUAAAAAUUAAUUAAAUUUUAAGACAAAUCAAGGUGCAGUCUAUUUAUAAGUAAUAAGGUGAGUUACAAUAAUAAAUAUUUUCGGAAUAUUAAAUGAAAAAGUUUAUAAAGACGGACUUAAAUGUAAUAUGUAAGUAUAAAUAAAAUAUGAAUACGUUUCGUUUGGUGUA
Molecule: ribosomal RNA, 656 nt
Filed under: Albinaria profuga
Lineage: Eukaryota; Metazoa; Mollusca; Gastropoda; Stylommatophora; Clausiliidae
Description: partial 12S ribosomal RNA
Source: RNAcentral